This 301-nucleotide ribosomal RNA is filed under the name uncultured bacterium. RNAcentral's name for it is "partial 16S ribosomal RNA". It matches the Rfam family "Bacterial small subunit ribosomal RNA", at positions 509 to 807 of the family's 1533-position model. The record is from RNAcentral.
CAGUCGCCGCGGGAAUACAGAGGGUGCGAGCGUUAAUCGAAUUUACUGGGCGUAAAGCGUGCGUAGGCGGCUUUUUAAGUCGGAUGUGAAAUCCCUGAGCUUAACUUAGGAAUUGCAUUCGAUACUGGGAAGCUAGAGUAUGGGAGAGGAUGGUAGAAUUCCAGGUGUAGCGGUGAAAUGCGUAGAGAUCUGGAGGAAUACCGGUGGCGAAGGCGGCCCCCUGGACAAAGACUGACGCUCAGGUGCGAAAGCGUGGGGAGCAAACAGGAUUAGAUACCCCGGUAGUCCCUGUCUCUUAUAC